GAUGAACGCUGGCGGCGUGCCUAAUACAUGCAAGUCGAGCGAACAGACGAGGAGCUUGCUCCUCUGACGUUAGCGGCGGACGGGUGAGUAACACGUGGCUAACCUACCUAUAAGACUGGGAUAACUUCGGGAAACCGGAGCUAAUACCGGAUAAUAUAUUGAACCGCAUGGUUCAAUAGUGAAAGACGGUUUUGCUGUCACUUAUAGAUGGAUCCGCGCCGCAUUAGCUAGUUGGUAAGGUAACGGCUUACCAAGGCAACGCUGCGUAGCCGACCUGAGAGGGGGAUCGGCCACACUGGAACGGAGACACGGUCCAGACUCCUACGGGAGGCAGCAGGAGGGAAUCUUCCGCAAUGGGCGAAAGCCCGACGGAGCAACGCCGCGUGAGUGAGGAAGGUCUUCGGAUCGUAAAACUCUGUUAGUAGGGAAGAACAAAUGUGUAAGUAACUAUGCACGUCUUGACGGUACCUAAUCAGAAAGCCACGGCUAACUACGUG
RNAcentral lists this ribosomal RNA (497 nucleotides) under uncultured bacterium. RNAcentral describes it as "partial 16S ribosomal RNA". It matches the Rfam family "Bacterial small subunit ribosomal RNA", at positions 28 to 507 of the family's 1533-position model. The record is from RNAcentral.